Molecule: long non-coding RNA, 625 nt
Organism: Neocloeon triangulifer
Lineage: Eukaryota; Metazoa; Arthropoda; Insecta; Ephemeroptera; Baetidae
Exons: 3
Source: RefSeq, a predicted model, not a curated record
CAAGAGUCUUUGUUCUGCAGCGCUGUGCAGCGCUUAUCAAAAUUAAAGUGCAGAGCAGCUUUGAUAAUAAAACAACUCACCGCAAAGGAUUAUUAGCAGUUUCCUUAAUCAUGGCACGGACGCACAUACUUGUGCUUGCCGUGGCGUUUACGCUCGCAGCUCUUGUCGGUGCGGGGAAAGUUGAAAAAACGAUAGGAAAACUUAAUUUUUCCAAAGAUGUGGAUGGGAAAAUUAAAUUGACUGUUAAUAGGAAGGUCGGAGACGUUUCGUUUGACUUGGGUCAGAAUUUCAAUUCUGGUGGCACCUGUCAUGGAUGAAGGGGCUGUUUCGAGGGACAUCUACCUUCCAGACGGUAUUUGGCGCGACAUGAAUACACAGCAAGUGUACGUUGGCCCAAAUUGGCUCCGAAACUAUCCUGCUCCUUUAGACACCCUGCCCUAUUUUGAGAUCGCUGUUAUGAACGGCGCGAUCAAUGUUGCCACAAACAUGGCACUCACGACUUUGCUUUUUGUAGCAAUUUUUCUUUUGAAUUAAAGAAAUUAACAUAGGCAAAAGUUUUUUUUACUUUGUGCUUGUAUUAUUGUAUUUUUAAUAAACAAUAAAAAUUUCAUAUACAAACAGACAA